RNAcentral lists this transfer RNA (75 nucleotides) under Gemmobacter megaterium. RNAcentral's name for it is "tRNA-Val". It matches the Rfam family "tRNA". Rfam says of the family: Transfer RNA (tRNA) molecules are approximately 80 nucleotides in length. The record is from RNAcentral. Lineage: Bacteria; Pseudomonadati; Pseudomonadota; Alphaproteobacteria; Rhodobacterales; Paracoccaceae. RNAcentral also lists the same sequence under 16 other names.
GGGCGCGUAGCUCAGCGGUAGAGCACUACGUUGACAUCGUAGGGGUCACAAGUUCGAUCCUUGUCGCGCCCACCA